AGCAGGAUGACAAUGAGGAGGAGGAAGUGAAGGGGUCGAGGAAGCGCACUAAAAAAGUGAUUCCAGAGGAUUUUGUAUCAGAUGUUACAGAUUCAGAUGAGGAAAGAUCCAAUGGUUUUGAGCUGCCCAACUACCCUGCUCCACCGACAAAACUGCAGCCCAUUCAGGGCACACCCAUACUAGAUAAUGCAUGUGAGUACUGAUGACAAUUUAUAAAGCAUGGUAAUGUGUUGUAUCGACAAAAUGAUAGUACGGGCUGAUUUGGAUGUGUUUCAGUCUCUGGAGAUGAAGACAUAGUG
Long non-coding RNA from Stegastes partitus (bicolor damselfish), 299 nucleotides. RefSeq lists it as uncharacterized. The record is from RefSeq and is a predicted model, not a curated record. The transcript is spliced from 3 exons. Lineage: Eukaryota; Metazoa; Chordata; Actinopteri; Pomacentridae.